UAGUUGGUCUUAGAGGACGAUCAACCACACUGGAACUGAAAUAAGGUCCAGGCUAAUUUUUUGGCCAGCAGUGAGGAAUAUUGGACAAUGAACGAAAGUUUGAUCCAGCGAUAUUAUCUGAAUGAAGACGGCUUUUUUUAGUUGUAAAAUUCUUUCGUUAAGAAAUGAUAAUGACAUUAUUUAAAGAAGUUUAAGUCCCGGCCAAUACUCGUGCCAGCAGCCGCGGUAAUACGGGGGGGGCGAGCGUUAUCCAUCAUGACUGGGCGUAAAGGGUCUGUAGACGGUAAAGUAAGUUACUUGUUAAAUUUUAAAGCCUAACUUUAAGUCAGCUUGUAAUACUGCUUUACUUGAGUUUUAUACAGAAGAGUAGAAUUUUAUACGUAAGGGUAAAAUCUUGAAAUAUAUAAAGGAACACCAGUAGCGAAGGCGACUCUUUGGUAAAAACUGACGUUGAGAGACGAAAGUGUGGGUAGCAAACAGGAUUAGAUACCCUGGUAGUCCACACUGUAAAUUCUGAGUGCUGAAAUUUAAUGUAAGAUACAAUUCUUAUUUAGAUUUUUAAGCUAACGCCAUAAGCACUCCGCCUGAGGAGUACGGUCGCAAGGUUGGAACUCAAAGGAAUUGACGGGGGCUUAAUACUAGUGGUGGAGCAUGUGGUUUAAUGCGAUAAUCCGCGCAGAACCUUACCAAUUCUUGACAUAAAAGUAAAGUUUAAUUCUACAUUUGGUAGAAUUAUAAUUAUGAUUUUUACAGGUGUUGCACGACUGUCGUAAGCUCGUGUCGUGAGAUGUUUGGUUAAUUCCUUUAACGGGCGAAACUCUUAUCUUUAAUUUACUUAUUUUUUAGACAGAUUAAAAAUUUAAAAGAUGCUUUAAAGGUACCGUCAACUAUAAGUUGAAGGAAGGUGAGAACUAAGCCAAGUCAAUGUGACCCUGAUGAAUUGGGCUACACAUGUGCUACAAUGAAAAUCACAAAAAGUAACAAAAAAUUAAAUUUUUAGUUAAUCCUACAAAAGUUUUCCCAGUUCGGAUUGUAGGCUGAAACUCGCUUACAUGAAGUUGGAAUCACUAGUAAUCGCAAAUCAGCACGUUGCGGUGAAUAUGUCAAUUAGCCUUGUACACACCGCCCGUCACAUGCAGAAAGCCAGCUUUGCUUGAAGAUUUAACUUAGUUAAAUCGAUUGAGAAGUUGGCAAUUUGGAUGAAGUCGUAACAAGGUAGCUGUACGGGAACGUGUAGCUG
Molecule: ribosomal RNA, 1240 nt
Filed under: marine metagenome
Description: bacterial SSU rRNA
Rfam family: Bacterial small subunit ribosomal RNA
Source: RNAcentral